AUGGAUUAAGAGCUUGCUCUUAUGAAGUUAGCGGCGGACGGGUGAGUAACACGUGGGUAACCUGCCCAUAAGACUGGGAUAACUCCGGGAAACCGGGGCUAAUACCGGAUAACAUUUUGAACCGCAUGGUUCGAAAUUGAAAGGCGGCUUCGGCUGUCACUUAUGGAUGGACCCGCGUCGCAUUAGCUAGUUGGUGAGGUAACGGCUCACCAAGGCAACGAUGCGUAGCCGACCUGAGAGGGUGAUCGGCCACACUGGGACUGAGACACGGCCCAGACUCCUACGGGAGGCAGCAGUAGGGAAUCUUCCGCAAUGGACGAAAGUCUGACGGAGCAACGCCGCGUGAGUGAUGAAGGCUUUCGGGUCGUAAAACUCUGUUGUUAGGGAAGAACAAGUGCUAGUUGAAUAAGCUGGCACCUUGACGGUACCUAACCAGAAAGCCACGGCUAACUACGUGCCAGCAGCCGCGGUAAUACGUAGGUGGCAAGCGUUAUCCGGAAUUAUUGGGCGUAAAGCGCGCGCAGGUGGUUUCUUAAGUCUGAUGUGAAAGCCCACGGCUCAACCGUGGAGGGUCAUUGGAAACUGGGAGACUUGAGUGCAGAAGAGGAAAGUGGAAUUCCAUGUGUAGCGGUGAAAUGCGUAGAGAUAUGGAGGAACACCAGUGGCGAAGGCGACUUUCUGGUCUGUAACUGACACUGAGGCGCGAAAGCGUGGGGAGCA
Molecule: ribosomal RNA, 720 nt
Filed under: Bacillus sp. RPAUOCAS2
Lineage: Bacteria; Bacillati; Bacillota; Bacilli; Caryophanales; Bacillaceae
Description: bacterial SSU rRNA
Rfam family: Bacterial small subunit ribosomal RNA
Source: RNAcentral